GGACCCGCACAAGUAGUGGAGCAUGUGGUUUAAUUCGAAGAUACGCGCAGAACCUUACCAACACUUGACAUGUUCGUCGCGACUCUAAGAGAUUAGAGUUUUCGGUUCGGCCGGACGAAACACAGGUGCUGCAUGGCUGUCGUCAGCUCGUGUCGUGAGAUGUUGGGUUAAGUCCCGCAACGAGCGCAACCCUCACUUUUAGUUGCCAUCAUUAAGUUGGGCACUCUGAAAGAACUGCCAGUGAUAAGCUGGAGGAAGGUGGGGAUGACGUCAAGUCCUCAUGGCCCUUACGUGUUGGGCUACACACGUGCUACAAUGGUAUCUACAACAGGAAGCAAGACUGCGAAGUUAAGCAAAUCCCUAAAAGAUACCUCAGUUCGGAUUGCACUCUGCAACUCGAGUGCAUGAAGCUGGAAUUACUAGUAAUCGUGGAU
This 434-nucleotide ribosomal RNA is filed under the name uncultured bacterium. RNAcentral's name for it is "bacterial SSU rRNA". It matches the Rfam family "Bacterial small subunit ribosomal RNA", at positions 917 to 1349 of the family's 1533-position model. The record is from RNAcentral.